UACGUAGGGCGCAAGCGUUAUCCGGAAUUAUUGGGCGUAAAGAGCUCGUAGGCGGUUUGUCGCGUCUGCCGUGAAAGUCCGGGGCUCAACUCCGGAUCUGCGGUGGGUACGGGCAGACUAGAGUGAUGUAGGGGAGACUGGAAUUCCUGGUGUAGCGGUGAAAUGCGCAGAUAUCAGGAGUAACACCGAUGGCGAAGGCAGGUCUCUGGGCAUUAACUGACGCUGAGGAGCGAAAGCAUGGGGAGCGAACAGG
This 253-nucleotide ribosomal RNA is filed under the name uncultured bacterium. RNAcentral's name for it is "partial 16S ribosomal RNA". It matches the Rfam family "Bacterial small subunit ribosomal RNA", at positions 524 to 776 of the family's 1533-position model. The record is from RNAcentral.